GUGCCGGCGGGAGAGCUGGCUUGGGGCGCUGGCGCCUCUUCUUACAGCUUUACUCCUGCCGGCUUGGGAAAAGGCCGGAGAAGGUGAAAUUCUGUGUGCUCCCUCCGGCGAGAGACUUUGUCAGCUCCCGCACAGUAACGUGGAAGUCCAAGAAUCCGAAUGGAGGCUCACCGAGGCGAAGGGGCCAACCAUGGGAAAGGAGAGUGGAUGGGACUCAGGCAGGGCUGCUGUAGCAGCUGUGGUCGGAGGAGGUGAGUCUCUAUGGGAAGGAACUCAAGCCCCCAUCCCCCGCCUCCCCCCAGCCCUGAGCCUCUGGGAGAAACUGGCUUUGACCAAACCCAGGAUUCUCCAAGACAUAGCUGGGUAGCGGUGGAGUGGGCAGAGUGAUGGGGACCUUAGAGCAGCAGGAAGCAAAGCAAAGCCAUUAAAGGCACAGGGCUUUGGAGGCAGCCAGAGCUGGGGCUACUCUCAGCUUCCACCAAGUACAAACCAUGCAACCCCGGAUGAGUCAUUGGAGCAGUCACAGCCCGGGAUUCCUCCCCGUCUAAAGCAGGGCCCAUGGUAUCCUUGGGGACUUUUGAAGGGAGUAUGUCAGCUGAGCUGUGUCUCAUUCCUCAAAAGUAUUUGACAAAUGCUGGUAGCCCAUCCACUGAGUCAGAAGCUUUUGACCUGCUAUAAAGCAGUGUCCUCCAAUGCAGUGGCCAAAACUAAAGAAAAUCAUAAUGUUUCUCUGUCACCUGCACCACAUUUCAAGUGCUAAACGUGGCUACCCUAGUAGACAGUACAGAAAACAAAUGUGGCCGUGAUUGCAGAUGGCUCUCUGACUGC
This 828-nucleotide small RNA is filed under the name Pan troglodytes (chimpanzee). Its description in RNAcentral is "retained intron". Lineage: Eukaryota; Metazoa; Chordata; Mammalia; Primates; Hominidae. The record is from RNAcentral.